CACGUAGGGGGCAAGCGUUGUCCGGAUUUAUUGGGCGUAAAGAGCUCGUAGGUGGUUCGGUAAGUCGGGUGUUAAACCCCCAGGCUCAACCUGGGGACGCCACUCGAUACUGCUGUGACUAGAGUCCGGUAGGGGAGCGUGGAAUUCCUGGUGUAGCGGUGAAAUGCGCAGAUAUCAGGAGGAACACCAGCGGCGAAGGCGGCGCUCUGGGCCGGUACUGACACUGAGACGCGAAAGCGUGGGGAGCGAACAGG
Molecule: ribosomal RNA, 254 nt
Filed under: uncultured bacterium
Lineage: Bacteria
Description: partial 16S ribosomal RNA
Rfam family: Bacterial small subunit ribosomal RNA
Source: RNAcentral